GAUGAAGAACGUAGCGAAAUGCGAUAAGUAAUGUGAAUUGCAGAAUUCAGUGAAUCAUCGAAUCUUUGAACGCACCUUGCGCUCCUUGGUAUUCCGAGGAGCAUGCCUGUUUGAGUGUCAUUAAAUUCUCAACCAUACACGUUUCUUGAAGCUGGUAUGGCUUGGAUCUUGGAACCUGUCGGCUUUUCGCAAAGUCGGCUGUCCUUAAAAGCAUUAGCAGAGCUUUUGCCGCUAACCUCUGGUGUGAUAAUUAUCUACGCCGUUGAGUUGCGACAUCUCGAGGCUCAGCUUCUAACCGUCCUGCACGGGACAACACAUGACAAAUCUGACCUCAAAUCAGGUAGGACUACCCGCUGAACUUAAGCAUAUCAAUAAGCGGAGGA
RNAcentral lists this unclassified non-coding RNA (383 nucleotides) under soil metagenome. RNAcentral's name for it is "partial contains 5.8S ribosomal RNA, internal transcribed spacer 2, and large subunit ribosomal RNA". The stretch from base 1 to 120 matches the Rfam family "5.8S ribosomal RNA", at positions 35 to 154 of the family's 154-position model. The record is from RNAcentral.